GCAAACUUGGUCAUUUAGAGGAAGUAAAAGUCGUAACAAGGUUUCCGUAGGUGAACCUGCGGAAGGAUCAUUAACAAUUGUCCACCAUCAUGGAUAAUUUUAUCCAUAUCCACCUUGUGUGAAUUACAGAAUGUUUGUUGGCAGGCUUGUAGGUUUUCCGCUAUGGGGAACUUGUGUGAGUGUUCAUCGCUCAGCCUGCCAAUUUUAUUAGUUUAAACAUGUCUAAAUAUUACUAGUCUGAAAUAUAUUUAACAUAUAAUAAAUACAACUUUCAACAACGGAUCUCUUGGCUCUCGCAUCGAUGAAGAACGCAGC
This 315-nucleotide unclassified non-coding RNA is filed under the name uncultured fungus. Its description in RNAcentral is "partial contains small subunit ribosomal RNA, internal transcribed spacer 1, and 5.8S ribosomal RNA". The stretch from base 1 to 73 matches the Rfam family "Eukaryotic small subunit ribosomal RNA", at positions 1759 to 1831 of the family's 1831-position model. Lineage: Eukaryota; Fungi. The record is from RNAcentral.